GCCAACAAAGCUGGAGAAAUUGAAAUGGAAGCAGAAGUUACUUAAAAAUGGAAGCAUUUUUGAGCUUACCAUCUUUGAUGGCUAUGGCAAUGUGGAAAGUGCCAAGCACCACCAUGAAAAUGGUGGCUGCUGUUGCUGCUGCUCUCAUUUUUGAAUGACUCUGCUCUCUUUGAGAAUUUGGAUAUUUUUAGAAAGAAAGAAAGAAAGUAGCAAAGAAAAAGGACGGAAGAAAGGAAGGAAGACAAAGGCGUAUGCAAUGAUUCGAAGGAAUGGCAAAGUAGAGGGCCUUUUAUGCAUGCCCACCUUUUC
RNAcentral lists this long non-coding RNA (309 nucleotides) under Coffea arabica (coffee). Its description in RNAcentral is "long non-coding RNA (CARA_LNC006046)". The record is from RNAcentral. Lineage: Eukaryota; Viridiplantae; Streptophyta; Magnoliopsida; Gentianales; Rubiaceae.